RNAcentral lists this ribosomal RNA (253 nucleotides) under uncultured bacterium. Its description in RNAcentral is "partial 16S ribosomal RNA". It matches the Rfam family "Bacterial small subunit ribosomal RNA", at positions 524 to 776 of the family's 1533-position model. The record is from RNAcentral.
UACAGAGGGUGCAAGCGUUGUUCGGAAUUAUUGGGCGUAAAGCGCGCGUAGGCGGUCUUGUAAGUCAGAUGUGAAAGCCCCGGGCUCAACCCUGGAAGUGCAUAUGAUACUGCAAGACUUGAAUCUCGGAGAGGGUGGUAGAAUUCCCAGUGUAGAGAUGAAAUUCGUAGAUAUUGGGAGGAAUACCAGUGGCGAAGGCGACCACCUGGACGAAGAUUGACGCUGAGGUGCGAAAGCGUGGGGAUCAAACAGG